UAGAACAAUAGGGCAAUAUCAUAACUACUGAUAAACAAAGAACCCUAGAAGCAGGGGCUUGACAUUGGUUGCCAUGCCGAUUCAUGUGGCCUGUGUCUUAGAUCUUUUUAAAAAACUUUAUCUUAAUUUAGAUUCUGGAUGCAUUGGUCUUGUAGGUUAUCUUCACUUUUGGAGCUGAAGUUUUUUUUUUUUUUUGUCACAGCUGAAUUAAAACACAUUGAAGUCAUUUUUCCUUCUUCAAUUGAUCGUAAAUUAGAUAGCUGUGAGCUGCAUUAACCAAACAGGAAGCAUGGCACAAUGUGUAUCAGACAACAUGGUUGAUUGCGGUAACCUCACAGUUAUCACAUCAUCUAAGGGGAGCAUUAUCCUGUGGAAAGAAGUCACAGCCAUCAGGGAAUACAGCUUUCAUUAAAGGGUGUACAUGAUCUGCAGCAGUGCUUCGGUGUUCCCCUAGGUAAGAGAUGCACAUGGACCUGGUCAUCCACUUGAUGUUUCCCAGUGCUCUGUGGUCCAGUUUUGAUGCUCACUGUCAUGGUCCGGUUCCUGGACUCACUUUGACUUAAGCUUGAAGCUUAAGCUUCUCUCUUGGACUCAGGAUACCUUACCCCCAUCUUGGAUAUCACUCUGUGCCCUCCUCCCACCUCACACCAUCAGGAACCUCCAGAUCUCAGGUUAGCCAUUCCACACCGUUCAGCUCACUCUGGAUUCACGUCAACCAUCCCUCAUCGCUUACUGCAUCCACAUGCAAGUAAGAAAAGUUAUACAAUAUACUCACCAUCUACAGAGCUCC
Molecule: long non-coding RNA, 790 nt
Organism: Oreochromis niloticus (Nile tilapia)
Lineage: Eukaryota; Metazoa; Chordata; Actinopteri; Cichliformes; Cichlidae
Exons: 4
Source: RefSeq, a predicted model, not a curated record